GAUGAACGCUGGCGGCGUGCUUAACACAUGCAAGUCGAACGGGAAACCUUUUAUUGAAGCUUCGGCAGAUUUAGCUGGUUUCUAGUGGCGGACGGGUGAGUAACGCGUGGGUAACCUGCCUUAUACAGGGGGAUAACAGUCAGAAAUGGCUGCUAAUACCGCAUAAGCGCACAGAGCUGCAUGGCUCAGUGUGAAAAACUCCGGUGGUAUAAGAUGGACCCGCGUUGGAUUAGCUGGUUGGUGGGGUAACGGCCCACCAAGGCGACGAUCCAUAGCCGGCCUGAGAGGGUGAACGGCCACAUUGGGGCUGAGACACGGCCCAGACUCCUACGGGAGGCAGCAGUGGGGAAUAUUGCACAAUGGGGGAAACCCUGAUGCAGCGACGCCGUGUGAAGGAAGAAGUAUCUCGGUAUGUAAACUUCUAUCAGCAGGGAAGAUAAUGACGGUACCUGACUAAGAAGCCCCGGCUAACUACGUG
RNAcentral lists this ribosomal RNA (478 nucleotides) under uncultured bacterium. RNAcentral's name for it is "partial 16S ribosomal RNA". It matches the Rfam family "Bacterial small subunit ribosomal RNA", at positions 28 to 507 of the family's 1533-position model. The record is from RNAcentral.